This is a long non-coding RNA of Eupeodes corollae, 882 nucleotides long. RefSeq lists it as uncharacterized. The record is from RefSeq and is a predicted model, not a curated record. Lineage: Eukaryota; Metazoa; Arthropoda; Insecta; Diptera; Syrphidae. The transcript is spliced from 3 exons.
ACCACACAACAAUUUUCAAACAAAAAGAGAACAAUAACCCUCCUUGUACCUAUCUACAUACCUCCAUCUUAUCUACGUUACGAUUGAUUUAAUCUCAUUAUGCAAAGAAAAAACAAACAUCUCGCUUGUUAUAUCUCAAUAUUUUACCUCCUUUUAUGAGAUGAACUAACGCACUAAUUAGUAAUGAACACAAUAAUUCAAAUCGCAUCCCCUCCCCACCUUUUUAUUACUUUGUAUGUUUGUAAAUAUCUUAGAGACAACUCAAGUCAUAUUUUUGUUGUUAUUAAAAUCACAACAAAGAGGAAAUGACAUUGGAUGAUACAGAGUCAAUAAAAAAAAGGAAUUGUUAUCGAUACUAAAUUUAUAAAUUUAGAUUACAAUGUUUGAAACUGAUAGCAUUGCCCUCUAAGCCGUUUUAACUGAGUCGCUGAUUGCUUGCUGGCUAAGAUUAAGUGACUCAUACACCUGAUUACCUGCUGCAAAAAUAAUACACAAUACGUUGUCGUUUGUCUUCAGGAAACGCAAACAGGAGCGAGGAACAGGGGAAAAGCAUAUAAUCGCAGCUACAGCUACAGCCACAGCCACUGCUGCCUGUCACUGCUUCAGCUUCAGCUUUUGCCACUGUGCCUUGCUGUGCCGUGCCGUUUGCUGAUUGCUUCUGCUGCUGCUGUUAAUUGGUGAAAAACAACGACAUCAAAGGCGACGACCCACUCGGAGACCUCGGUUUCGGUAUUUUUUCUCAUUAAUUGACGAUGGAGCUCAGAGCUGAGUUGACUUUCUUUUGUUGUCUCGUUUUGGAAAAUUAGAAAAAUUUCCUUCGUCACUUUGCACUUUUUUUCUUGUCAUUUUUAAUUUUUCUUUGUGAAACAAGCAAAACGAAAA